Molecule: ribosomal RNA, 637 nt
Filed under: uncultured marine eukaryote
Lineage: Eukaryota
Description: SSU rRNA
Rfam family: Eukaryotic small subunit ribosomal RNA
Source: RNAcentral
GGUUAAAAAGCUCGUAGUUGGAUUUCUGUCGAAGACGGUCGGUCCGCUCUAUGAGCGUGUAUCUGAUUCGGCUUUGGCAUCCUCGUGGGGAACGUAACUGUGCUUGAUUGCAUGGUGCGGAAUUCACGACUUUUACUUUGAGGAAAUUAGAGUGUUCACGGCAGGCAAGCGCCUUGAAUACAUUAGCAUGGAAUAAUAAUAUAGGACUUUGGUUCUAUUUUGUUGGUUUCUAGGACUAAAGUAAUGAUUAAUAGGGAUAAUUGGGGGCAUUUGUAUUAACGCGUCAGAGGUGGAAUUCUUGGAUUGCGUUACGACAAACUACUGCGAAAGCAUUUGCCAAGGAUGUUUUCAUUGAUCAAGAACGAAAGUAUGGGGAUCGAAGAUGAUUAGAUACCGUCGUAGUCUAUACCAUAAACUAUGCCGACUAGAGAUUGGAGGUCGUUCUUUUUAUGACUCCUUCAGCACCUUAUGAGAAAUCAAAGUCUUUGGGUUCCGGGGGGAGUAUGGUCGCAAGGCUGAAACUUAAAGGAAUUGACGGAAGGGCACCACCAGGAGUGGAGCCUGCGGCUUAAUUUGACUCAACACGGGAAAACUCACCAGGUCCAGACAUAGUAAGGAUCGACAGAUUGAUAGCUCU